CUGGAAUGCUUGAACCCCUUGGCAGCUC
This 28-nucleotide non-coding RNA is filed under the name Homo sapiens (human). Lineage: Eukaryota; Metazoa; Chordata; Mammalia; Primates; Hominidae. The record is from RNAcentral.